UACGAAGGGGGCGAGCGUUGUUCGGAAUUACUGGGCGUAAAGGGCGCGCAGGCGGCUCGACAAGUCAGAUGUGAAAGCCCCGGGCUCAACCUGGGAACGGCAUUUGGGACUGUCGGGCUAGAGUCCGGGAGAGGAGAGUGGAAUUCCUGGUGUAGCGGUGAAAUGCGCAGAUAUCAGGAAGAACACCCGUGGCGAAAGCGGCUCUCUGGAACGGUACCGACGCUGAGACGCGAAAGCGUGGGGAGCGAACAGG
This 253-nucleotide ribosomal RNA is filed under the name uncultured bacterium. RNAcentral describes it as "partial 16S ribosomal RNA". It matches the Rfam family "Bacterial small subunit ribosomal RNA", at positions 524 to 776 of the family's 1533-position model. The record is from RNAcentral.